This 794-nucleotide long non-coding RNA is filed under the name Olea europaea (common olive). Its description in RNAcentral is "long non-coding RNA (OEUR_LNC010070)". The record is from RNAcentral. Lineage: Eukaryota; Viridiplantae; Streptophyta; Magnoliopsida; Lamiales; Oleaceae.
UCAAACAGGCCUUAAAUGACAUGAGUCUAGAUGAAGGUGAAUCCCUUAUGAACUAUUGAAAGCAAUUUAGUGCUAAGUUGAUUCCCGGUGGAACGACUUGCUAGUGGAGACUCUUUUCUGGUGGGAUGUUCUUAACAAGAAUCCAAACUCCUACCACCAUCUUGUAAGCCUGAUAAAAAAUGAAAUCCAGAUAGAGGAUGCCAUAUAGAACCGAAUGAAGAUAGAUUAGGGCGAUCGCUCAAGGGAAAAUCUUUGACAUACGCACCUGGAUUGCCAAAGCAUCAGUACCCACGCUUCUUCAGCUUUCUUAAUAAUCGCGAAGGCAAAAUACAUGUGAUCUUUCUAGCUUCCUCGUAAGCAGAAGGUGAAGCACUUCUAUCCCCUAAAUAUCGAAAGGUAAAACUUUGUAAAAUUUAUUGUAGCAGGAACAUGACAUGGACAAAUGCUUAACGAUAAAUCAAGAGUGUAAACCUAUAAAUUUAGUAGGUUGGGAUGCACAAGGGUUUUGAAAGUCGAAAGCCUUCAUACCCAAGCGGAGAGGGGGAGAUUGUGAAGGUAAAUCAAGGUAGACAAAUUCAUUGUGAGCAUUGACAGGCAACCACACUACCACCACUUGUGAAAGAGAUCUAUCCUAGUAAUAGAAGGUCCCCAUGUUAACGGGAAAAUAAUGAAUGCACAACAGAAUUAUGCUUGAACUGCUAACAAGCCUACCCAGAAAAACUUUUGGAUCUGAGACAAUCCUCAAACUGCUUCUCUUCCAAUUACGUUUAAUAGUGACGAUAAGUAGGGAAUCC